GAUGAACGCUGGCGACGUGCCUAAUACAUGCAAGUCGAGCGAACAGAUGAGGAGCUUGCUCCUCUGACGUUAGCGGCGGACGGGUGAGUAACACGUGGAUAACCUACCUAUAAGACUGGGAUAACUUCGGGAAACCGGAGCUAAUACCGGAUAAUAUAUUGAACCGCAUGGUUCAAUAGUGAGAGACGGUUUUGCUGUCACUUAUAGAUGGAUCCGCGCCGCAUUAGCUAGUUGGUAAGGUAACGGCUUACCAAGGCAACGAUGCGUAGCCGACCUGAGAGGGUGAUCGGCCACACUGGAACUGAGACACGGUCCAGACUCCUACGGGAGGCAGCAGUAGGGAAUCUUCCGCAAUGGGCGAAAGCCUGACGGAGCAACGCCGCGUGAGUGAUGAAGGUCUUCGGAUCGUAAAACUCUGUUAUUAGGGAAGAACAAAUGUGUAAGUAACUAUGCACGUCUUGACGGUACCUAAUCAGAAAGCCACGGCUAACUACGUG
RNAcentral lists this ribosomal RNA (497 nucleotides) under uncultured bacterium. RNAcentral's name for it is "partial 16S ribosomal RNA". It matches the Rfam family "Bacterial small subunit ribosomal RNA", at positions 28 to 507 of the family's 1533-position model. The record is from RNAcentral.